This 273-nucleotide microRNA precursor is filed under the name Populus trichocarpa (black cottonwood). RNAcentral's name for it is "miR6475 stem-loop (ptc-MIR6475)". The record is from miRBase by way of RNAcentral. Lineage: Eukaryota; Viridiplantae; Streptophyta; Magnoliopsida; Malpighiales; Salicaceae.
CUUGUAAAUGCUCUUAUCUAUUCGGUGGUCUUGAGAAGUAAAGAACGACGAUAGAGAAAUGUUGUUUUGCAAGUAAUUAAAUAGAGAAGCCGCAUGUUAAUUUUAAAAUGAAAAUGAAUGGCUUUUAGUGUGAUAAUAUGGAUGCCUAUCUAAAUCCUCAUACUUGAAACAAGAGGGCUUGCAUGAAAUUAACCUCGUCGUUCUUUACUUCUCAAGACCACCGCAUAGAUAAGAGCAUUAUUUCCAUACUACCUUCUUAAAUUUCCAUACAAG